UAGAGUUUGAUCCUGGCUCAGAACGAACGCUGGCGGCAGGCCUAACACAUGCAAGUCGAACGCUGUAGCAAUACAGAGUGGCAGACGGGUGAGUAACGCGUGGGAACGUGCCUUUCGGUUCGGAAUAACUCAGGGAAACUUGAGCUAAUACCGGAUACGCCCUUCGGGGGAAAGAUUUAUUGCCGAAAGAUCGGCCCGCGUCCGAUUAGCUAGUUGGUGUGGUAAUGGCGCACCAAGGCGACGAUCGGUAGCUGGUCUGAGAGGAUGAUCAGCCACACUGGGACUGAGACACGGCCCAGACUCCUACGGGAGGCAGCAGUGGGGAAUAUUGGACAAUGGGCGCAAGCCUGAUCCAGCCAUGCCGCGUGAGUGAUGACGGCCCUAGGGUUGUAAAGCUCUUUCGCCAGGGACGAUAAUGACGGUACCUGGAUAAGAAGCCCCGGCUAACUUCGUGCCAGCAGCCCCGGUCAA
This 471-nucleotide ribosomal RNA is filed under the name uncultured bacterium. RNAcentral's name for it is "bacterial SSU rRNA". It matches the Rfam family "Bacterial small subunit ribosomal RNA", at positions 1 to 524 of the family's 1533-position model. The record is from RNAcentral.